RNAcentral lists this ribosomal RNA (407 nucleotides) under uncultured bacterium. RNAcentral's name for it is "partial 16S ribosomal RNA". It matches the Rfam family "Bacterial small subunit ribosomal RNA", at positions 28 to 526 of the family's 1533-position model. The record is from RNAcentral.
GACGAACGCUGGCGGCGUGCCUAAUACAUGCAAGUAGGACGCAGUUGCGAACGGGUGAGUAACGCGUAGGUAACUACCUAUUAGAGGGGGCUAACUAUUGGAAACGAUAGCUAAUACCGCAUACUAGUAGAUGGACCUGAGUUGUAUUAGCGAGUAGGUAGGGUAAUGGCCUACCUAGGCAACGAUACAUAGACGAGCUGAGAGGGCGAGCGGCAACACGGGGACUGAGACACGGCCAAGACUCCUACGGGAGGCAGCAGUAGGGAAUCGUCGGAAAUGGGGGGAACCCUGACCGUGAACCGCCGCGUGAGUGAAGAAGGUUUUCGGAUCGUGAAGCUCUGUUGUUAAGGAAGCGGUACUUAAUCAGAAAGGGACGGCUAACUCCGUGCCAGCCGCCGCGGUAAUAC